This is a long non-coding RNA of Anas platyrhynchos (mallard), 3545 nucleotides long. RefSeq lists it as uncharacterized. Lineage: Eukaryota; Metazoa; Chordata; Aves; Anseriformes; Anatidae. The record is from RefSeq and is a predicted model, not a curated record.
UGGGAUGGGAUGGGGAUGGGAUGGAUUUCCCAGCCCCCUGCCCCCUGCCCCCCGUGCGCCUUCUCGUGCGUGGUGCGUGGCCGCCUGCCGCCGGCUUCUCCCGCUCCCCUGCCCUCCCACAUCGCCUCUCCUCCUCCUCCUCCCCGCGCGCUGGGUGCAAUGAGAAAUGUACUUGGCUCCCGAUCCUAGAGUGGGAGGUGAAGGCAAAAAACGCGACUUCAGCUCCACGGCGCGUGGGAGGUGGCUGAUGGCAGCUCUCCACCCUUGACUCCUUGCUGAGGCUGAGGUGGGAGCCCCACGGCCACACCUGGACACCUCUGAGCGCUCUGGGCUGAUCCCACCGUCCCGUGCGUGGGGACAGCCGUGGCGUUGGGUUGCUGGAGUGAAGCAGGGGGCUCCUGGUGUCCCCGUGAGCAGCGCCGUGCCCUCGGACCCCUCGGACCUUCCCACGGGCAGAGUUUUGGGGCCACGUGCUUGGAUUUCCCCGGGGGAGCCCAUGGGGAGGGAGCUGCUGGGGCUGCCCGGCUGAGGACCACUGCUGGAGACCCCCAGGACCCCGACCUGGCCAGAAGAGGAGCAGCCCUGGGAUUUGAAGAGAAAUGCAGCUGAGUGCAGCACCGUGGCACAGCCCGAGGCAUUUAGAAGCAGAGCCCUGGUUCCUGGCAAUUUUUCAUGUACCCAGGACGGGGCGGAGGGCACAAGGUGCUGCUGCGCUCGUCUCAUUUUUGCUCCCACCCCCAUGGCAGAGAGGUUGUGCACACACGCAAGGCUGGGUGCUGCUCCUCCACCCUCCCCAGCAGCCUGCUUGCCCCCCGGGGGCUGCGCCCUCACCCCCAAAUUCUGGCCGUGCCCCCCCCCCAGCACCGCCGACCCCAAGCCCCGGUUGCCAGAAGGGCACUGCCCUCACCCAGCCGUGAAGUCCUGGCCUGAAAAAGGAAGAAGGAGACUUUAGGAAAGGGCUUUGCAGUGCCUGCUGCAGCCGGGCUCGCUGCGAGGGGAGGAUUUAGCUUAAAGCCUGUGCAAAUGCUCUGCACUUAUUGCAGGUUUCCUUCCCCUGGCUUCUCGGAUCCCAGGAGACCCGCACACAGCCGGAGCUCCAGCUCUGGCUUUCAGCUGUGCCGGGGGGGGAUGCGUGGGGAGCACAGCCCCAGCUGAAAGGGGAGAGGGUCAACAGGGCCCCCCCGACCCACCUGGGGCUGCCCCACUGCCCGCACCCACCCCCCGUGGGGCUGGGACCCCCGGAUUUAAUCACACCUCCGUCACCGUGCCAUGGUGCUAUUCCCUCCUGAGCACCAGAAGUGCGGUGAGACCCCUCUCGGGGGCUCGUCCCCAGCCCCCUGUCCCCACACAGCCGUCCUGGAGAGGUGGUGUCCCCCUGCCUGGUGUCCCCUGCCUGGUGUCCCCCUCGACCCCUCGCCAGCUCCAGUCCUGGGGAAGUGAAACCCAAGCUGUUUGUGCGGCGCAAAGCCCGGGGCAGACAUUCCUCCCCUGAUUGAAACCAGACCUCCCGCGAUGCUGCCGGCGCUGGUGGGGAAGGCGUACGGAGCGGGGCAGAGCGGGGUCUCCUUCCAAAACAGAUUUAGGUUCUUAGGUUUCCCCACUGGGUUGAGGUCCGAGUGCUGCGGCCUCGCGCAGAGACCUGGAGCUGAAGCGAUCCCCGAGGGGACCCCAGCCCCUGGCUGCUCCCUGACCCCCAUCCCAGCCCUCCCGGCACCACAGGAUGGGGAUGUCUGCCCCGGGGGGGUCCCGGAGGGGCAGGGACGUGGCUGGGGUGGAAAAUGCUGCUGAGGCUCCGGCGCAGGGAGCGCGGGAUGACGAUGGACAAACACGGCCUGGCAGCAUGCUGCGGGAACAGGGGAGGAAGGUGGGUGAGAUGGGGAUGUCCCAUCUUGUGUCACCCCCUCCUUCACCCCCCCAAAAAAAUCCCUACCAAGCCGCACAACCUGAAAAAACAAACAUUGAGAAAUCCAAGGGGGAAAAAAAGGGAAGUGGGGAGGUCAGCGGGGCUCGGCACGGGGCUCGGCUGGCGAGCAGGGCCAGAAGCUGCUGAGGCAGCCCCUGGUGAGCGUUUCCCCCCCUGGGACCAACCUGAUCCCAUCCCAGGAGCUGCUGCAACCCCCCCACAACCCUCCCCACCGAGCUUUUCGGGAACUGAAACUCCGUGCUGCAAGCUGUGGGGAUGAAGCAAGAGGCGCUCGGGUAGGAAGCGGCACCCCGAGGGAGAGGAAGAGCCCAGGAGGAAGGCUGGCUCCGACCCUGGCACCACGUAGCAGCGCUCCGGAGUCAAACCAGGAUUUCUAGGUCUCGUUGCCUGUUGGUGAGGCUCUGAGGGCUCGGAAAAGCUGCUGGUCCCGGGGGGAGGAAAGGAGAGAAGCGCUCGGAGCCCGAAUUGGCCGGAUCGGAAGGGAAAAGCCGAUUUCUCUGGCACUCCCACUAGCAGCCCGGGUCCCAGGUGAGGCCACAUCCAGCCUCUCCUCCCCAGCCUCCUGCCUGCUGCCCCGACGUGGGGACAUCUCCUGGGGACAGAGCCCGCGGGGCUCCAGCUGGGGUGGGCACAGGGCAUGUGGGGGCUGCUGCAGCCUCGUGUCCUGCACCACGACCCCAGGGCGUGAAGGACAGCUCCAGGCUCUCCGUCUGCAGGUCCCAGUGAUCUCAGCCCUGCGAGGACACCUUUGGUGUUGAGGCUGAGGAUUCCUUGGCCUGGGCUGGGGCAGGGACAUAUUUCCUAACCCCCCCAGCCUGCAAAGCACUGGCCAAACGCCCACGGGCGGCUCGUGGGAUCGCCCUGCCCUGCCUUCCCUCGGACCAGUUCCCCUGAUAACCCUGCCCAAACAGCUCCCAGCCAGCCACCAACCCUUCCUCCUCCUCCUCCUCCUGCAGCCUCCCACCUUGGCACACGCUGACACCCCCCCAAAAAAAAAAACCAAACCCCUCUCCGCUCUGCACCGGCAGCCACAACACCGACAAAAUCCCAUCGCCCCGGCUCCCCUCCUGCAGCUGAAGGGGAACCGGGGCUAAAUGCUGGCAGAAGAAACAAAUUCCCCAAUUUUGCAGGGAGCACAUGGGGGGGCAGCCAGCAGCCCCCUGCCGAUGCCCCCCAGGAGCCGCGCCGCAGCCCGCGGGCACGGGGCGCUGGCACGGCCCCCUCCCAGCGGCGGGGCUGGCGCGGCCCCCACAGCUCUCCCAGCUCCACAAAUUCGUUAAUAAAAGAUCAGUUUGCAGGCGCAGCUUGCUGUAGAUGACAGCAUUAGAGGCGCAUCUGCUUCUGCUAAGCACCGGGCUCGUGCUGGGUUUCUUUGGUCCAUUUGCGGCAGGGAAGAGUUGCUUUCGGCAGUCAGAGCUGUCUCGCGUCUCAGAGAGAUGGUGGGGGGGUAGGGGGUGUGGGGGGGAAGAUAUAUUUUCGGCUCUAUUUAGCCACAAAAAUUUGGUUUCGGAAUAAAGAGAAAUAUUCCCGUUUGCUGCCAAAGCGAGGCAGGCGAUCUCUGCGCGAGCCUCCGUUCGUUUGAGAACUCGGUGUCCUGCUGGAAAAAUAAAUGCUCUGAUGG